This 534-nucleotide ribosomal RNA is filed under the name uncultured bacterium. Its description in RNAcentral is "partial 16S ribosomal RNA". It matches the Rfam family "Bacterial small subunit ribosomal RNA", at positions 355 to 901 of the family's 1533-position model. The record is from RNAcentral.
UGGGGAAUAUUGCACAAUGGGCGAAAGCCUGAUGCAGCAACGCCGCGUGAGGGACGACGGCCUUCGGGUUGUAAACCUCUUUUAGCAAGGAAGAAGCGAAAGUGACGGUACUUGCAGAAAAAGCGCCGGCUAACUACGUGCCAGCAGCCGCGGUAAUACGUAGGGCGCAAGCGUUAUCCGGAAUUAUUGGGCGUAAAGAGCUCGUAGGCGGUUUGUCGCGUCUGCUGUGAAAACCCGAGGCUCAACCUCGGGCCUGCAGUGGGUACGGGCAGACUAGAGUGCGGUAGGGGAGAUUGGAACUCCUGGUGUAGCGGUGGAAUGCGCAGAUAUCAGGAAGAACACCGAUGGCGAAGGCAGAUCUCUGGGCCGUAACUGACGCUGAGGAGCGAAAGGGUGGGGAGCAAACAGGCUUAGAUACCCUGGUAGUCCACCCGUAAACGUUGGGAACUAGUUGUGGGUCCAUUCCACGGAUUCCGUGACGCAGCUAACGCAUUAAGUUCCCCGCCUGGGGAGUACGGCCGCAAGGCUAAAACU